This 8865-nucleotide long non-coding RNA is filed under the name Amphibalanus amphitrite. RNAcentral's name for it is "uncharacterized LOC122373752". The record is from RNAcentral. Lineage: Eukaryota; Metazoa; Arthropoda; Thecostraca; Balanomorpha; Balanidae.
UCUCGCCCUGUAGGCCCGCCUCCACCUGGGCUGCCAAGGACGGGUACUGUUGGAGGAUGCUCCGAAGGGUAUCUUCUACCCUGCCCUCCUCUGUCAGCCUCUGGAGGAUCCUCUGUUGGAAAGGAAAAUGUGAUUAUAGCCAUACAAUUAACUGAGGACCAGAUUCCAUGUCUGUAAAGUAGUGAAACGAAAGGAAACAAGUAAAAAAUAUUACCUCCCCCGCUCAACAACUUUUUUAACGUUGAAAUCGUCCUUGUCCCAACUGGUUUCCCCCUCCCCCGAAUGGCUGGCUGGAUCCGCCAUUGCAUAUGGCAUAACUUACCAAAUUAAGUUUUACUAGUUUUUAUUACUAACCGAUGUUUAACAUACGAGCUUACAAUACACAUGUAUGUACCUGAAGUGACGCAUAUAUUGCAGACGACUUGAAGAAGCAGUUCAACACAAAACCAUUGGUUAAGUUAUGCAAUCAAUAAUACAGGACAUCAAAGCCAAUGGCCAUGCGUAAAAACUUGUAAGCAAUAAGCAUGUUCUGGUACCCUAUACAAUAGUUUGAAACAAGCUGAUGCAAGGAAGAAAAGCAGGGCCCUGUUCGGUCGCUGCUGCCAAAACAGCUUCCCUAACAGCCCACUAGUAGGUGGCUACUGUGUUAAAGCAAUAGGACUAAGAAAGGGCUGUGCUGUUGACCAAUGAGAGACUGAGAAACGCACGCAGGUUUGCUGACGUACGUUGACGUUGCUGCUGACGUCUGCACAGGUCUAACUACGAGCAGCCUACAUGUGUUGGUGUAAUUGGCUCAUUUACAUAUCACGCAGCUAACAGUGAUGACGUCAUGUAACCAUGACGUAAAUCGACGCGCCAACGCCGUAAGUCUGCUGAUAAAAAACAGCGACUGAACAGGGCCCAGCAUUUCUAGCAAACCAGUAAAGGAAAGUAGGUAUAUGAAAAAUUUUAGAAAUGUUCCACACUGGAUAUGUGGGGUAGGUAGGUAUAAAAGUUGUCAUAUUUUGGUAUAUCAAACCACUUUAGAUUGCCUUAAAGUGGCAACGUAUAUGAGAAAUGACUGAAAGGAAGUCGAGCAAGAAUGUAUAAAAUGGAAACAAAAGCAUGAAAGCAUAUAAUUCUUCGGAAUGCUUGAGACGAGGUGUUAGUAUCACUGAUGUUAGUUGUCGGACUUUCGUGCAUGAAAGAAAGAGCAUGAAAGAAAUAAACAUCAACUAGCACAAGCAUCUAUUUUGUCCUGUCUGGGCAGACACAUAAAAAAGGAUGACAGGCAAUAUAAUCUAAGAAAGGAAACAGAGACAUGGACUAGCAUUACAGCAUCUGGCAUUUGCAUAUCUGCAAGCAGUCUGUCAAUUACUGUCAUCCUGCCGGUUGCAUCCUCUUCAGCGGCAGCCAAGGCUUCCCUGUAGAAUGAUAUGGAAAGACACAAUUCUACAAGUUGUUUUUUCUGACAUAAGUUCUUUAUAACACUUUAACAAGCAAGCAUUAUACCUUGACAAUUGUUCAAUGCUCAUUAUGAAGAUCAUGCAAGAACAUUUGAUAAUUAGUCACCCUGCGCUAUAAUCACAGGUGAGAAGCGAGGACCAUAUAAGGAUAUCGUUAGUGGGUAAGGGGGCUGGGCGGUAAGUACAGAGGGAGGUGGAGGACGGGGUAUUAAUAAAUUUCGUUACAGCAAGGCACUACUUUAGGGGUCAGAAUGACCCCUCCCCCACGAAGGUACCCCCGGGGUGCGGACCCCCCCCCCCCCCAUAUUUUAGCUGGUGUCAGAUGGGCUUUCUAGUGGCUUCAUAUUCAUUCAUACAUCAUAACCACAAGUUUUGCAAUGAACGUUGUAUUAACCUUAGAACGCUACGUCACAAGCUAGACGUUCACGCCUCAGUGAGGAACAUCCUUAUGCACUUACGAACGCGCAGCAAAAGGCAAACGCAAGUUAGAAAACAUGCUUCGCAAAUAGUUCACAGAUCAUGCUGAAAGGUCUUCAGGCCAGAAUCACACAAAGCGCCUGAGCGCGGCACUGUUGGCAGCGUAGUUGUGCCCAAGAGGCACACAGUGGACCCUCACGUGGUCAAAAUCUCCACAACCGGCCGCAGCGCCUUGGGCACUGUCGUGCCCUCCCGGUGUCCAAUCACGUUCUGCACGAGAAAGUUCCCCAGAUGUUUUACUUUGCCUGCGCACCGCUGGUUGAACGCCAUUACCACAACACUCCACAUGAGCAGUGAAGACGCUGGGGUGUUGUUGGGGCUUUGUUGAAACAGCUGCUCCCCUUCGACGGUUACAAUGCCCUGUACCUAUGAUCGCGGGGCCUCUGCACGGAAAAAAUAUUUACUCCCCUACGUGGGGUUCUGACGUCCCAAAUACAGUACCUAUAUUAGAGUAGAUAUUCGCCCUAUUUUGGAGUUCUAUCCAUAACUCCCUAAAACUAUCAAAAGGCGAUUCAUUACUCUCUUGGUGUUUUGAAACUCCCUUGUAAAACGCAAUUGAAACUCCCUUUUAGGGAGUGAAAAAUAAUAGGGAGUAGUGGAACCUAAGAGGAGUAAUAAAACUCCUUAUUAACCACUCCUUAUUCCGGAGCUAUGAUCGUAAAAGGGAGUUUCACUACUCCUGUUCUGCAAGUGAAACUCCUUUAAAUUUGUCUGUGGAGUAAUGUCACACCGAAAACGAGACGAGCUAAGUGGUUCCAAAACUCCCAAAAAGGUACUCAUCCCAAAUACAGUACUUAUAUUAGAGUAGAUAAAGUUAAAGUUCUGGAGUUUUCCAAAAAGGGUGUGAUGUCACCCCAAAUAUACGGGUUGAGUCACUCCUAAUUUCAGGCCAGACGAAUUAAAUAACAUUGCACAAGCACCGACUGACAUAACCAGAGCAUUUGCAGCUGUAAUUUUAAUAAAUACGGAACAUUGAUGACAAAGCCGAUACAAGAAAUGUCGCUAGAUGCUAUGUUGUUACCUGCGAUUUGUCUUGCAACACAAUGUCAAAUGCCAAAAUUCUAAAAAAUGUCUCGCAACAUAUUCAACAAAAUAUCGAUCUUUAGCAACAUUCUUUAUUGCAUGUUUUCUACUGUUUUCUACCAGAAACAUGAACGAACAUGGAACAGGGUUUCUACCAGAAACACCGGUGCACCGAACGAGUCUCCGUCAUGGGAUGAGCAGACAUCGACAAUGAACUCAACGAUCGGCAGCGUCGAUGACAGCGGCGCCUUGUGCAUGUGUAACCGAGGCGAACUGACGUUGUAUCUGUGUUUGAUACUUCAUCAGCUCAUGCCGACAUGAACGCACGGACGGGCGCCUCCCGCGGCACCUCCGCGCCACUAGAACGAACAUGGAACAGGGUAAACAGCGCCUUGUGCGUAUCGCAUCAUGUCGACAUGAACGCACGGACGUGCCGGGCGCCCCCCGCGGCACCUCUGCGCCACUAGAAUGAACAUGGAACAGGGCCUGUUGGCUAUCUCUGAUACGGAUAACGGAACAUUAUCCAAUUAGCUCCCAACAAUCAAAGGUAUAGAAUAGAAAAGAAAGAAACGUUUACAUACUCCGUUCACCCAGUGAGUGGCUCCCAAAUCCAGCAGGCAAGCAGUAAGCAGUGACAGAAAUCAACAUUCAAGACGACUGCAAAGGAAAGAGAGCCAGCUGAUGCAACGGGGCUUACACAUUAAACACAAACAAUGGCACCGGCGGUAACAGCUACACUUCCAUUGCAGCGUAUUUCUCAUCGCUGUACUUGUUGGAGCACGCGACUCUCGUUCGCAGGGACAUUCUGUCGCCCCGCGUCUGGCGCUGCAUUGCCUUCAUCGCAGCGCUACACUUCCAUUGCAGCGCAUUUCUCAUCGCUGUACUUGUUGCAGCACGCGACUCCCGUUCGCAGGGACUGUCUCUCGCCCCGCGUGUGGCUCUGCAUUGCCUAUUGCAGUCAUCGCAAACUUUUGCCUAUCAAUUUUGGCUGCUGGCUUGGCUCGUUUGUUCUCAGAAGUUCGGAUAUUGAGCGGAGUAAUUUAAUAAAUUUAGAAUGGCUCAUUCGACCGUUCUUUCAAGCUCAAUUCGGUGGGCGCGUCCAACAGCUGCAGCCGUCUGAUUUACACAGUUUCAGAUUUACAAAAUCACGUACCUACUGAGCAAGCGCACUGGAUUUACAGCAGGCCGUUUCGCCAAAUGCAGUUUAAGUCUUACGUUAGCGUCGUAUCCUCAUACCAGCAAUAAUGAAAAACGUUUUUACGACUUACUGUUAGCCGUUUGUUAACACAGUUUAAGAUUUACAAAACCACGUUAUACUAACAAGCGAUUCCGGACUUUACGGCAGGGCGUUUCAUUAACACAGUUGAAGAUUUACAUAAUGGCGUGCCUGACCUACCGGGAAAAAACGUUGUUCAGCCGAAUUUCACUUGAAAGAACGUUCCCGGCCGAGAUGCACCAUUAUGUGAAGGGGGCUUAGGCCGGUCCUGUGGGCCCUUCGUUACCUCUCCUCCGGAUCUCUACUUUACUGUAUAGGAUCAGUGGUCGGCCGGGACGUCUCCCAGCCUUUUACCCGUCUGCCACCCGGGCCACUGUCCUCUAAACUAAAUGUACUAAACUAUGCAUCCUGGUUCAGGUGAAUAACUCGGCCAUUUUGGGGCACACGCAGUUGGUAGCGAACCCUGGGUUUGGAGCUAAGCUCCUGAACCAUAAUGACUAUCUAAGCACCGAAUGAAUCUGACUCCGCUCCGCUCAAUUUCCGUUCUCCUCCGACCCAUUCCAUUUCCAAAAGCUUCUGGUCAAUUCAUACCCACAUAUAUUAUCAAAGCCGAACAUCAUGAAAGGACUGCUAGAGAAUCAUUUGAACCCUGACGGAAUAACUUCCGCGUGCUACCCUAUCAAUACCCUCACGACAAUCGACGCGCGAAUCUACCUAAUCCUCCACCUAGGUGCUCCUAUCCUAGCUAAGGGAUGUCCGUGAGCCCGCGACAAUCCCUGCGUGACGGAAACCUACCUCGAGCCAGGAGAGCCCGCAGCAGAAGAGUAGUCGGGCACAGCGCAGCACAGCACUUAGGCAGGCAGACACUGAGCCCCGACUCCUCCUCUUGCUGUGCUUAUGUACCGGGCUCGAGGCGGGAACGCCCCACGUCAGCCGGCCCGAGGCUAAGGCCGACCAACCAGCGCGCUUGGUUACCAUCACGCUGACCUCCACUGAUGUAACUCCCAACGCGGACGCGGGCGCAACGGACGAACAAACGGACGAACAAAGGAUAGCACACGUUCACAUUCAUACGCCUAAAUUUCUACAAUCCCUGCAUAAUAUUUCACGGCCACAUUAAUACAUUAAUACGCCUAAAUUCCUACAAUCCCUACACUGAUCCGAGGGCAGGCAGACCCACUGGGGCCGUCCCACCGGAGGCGCCGGCCAGCUCGGCUCCGCUUGCGUCCAGGUCGAACUGGAGUUGCCGAGCCGCAGCUGCCCUUGUAGUGCGCGACGAUGUAGACGUUGUGAUGGACUGUCGUGGAUAAGAAGGGGUGCCGUGGCGGCUCCGCACCAUCUAAUAGGAGAGGCGGCGCCUUGGUCCCGGGUAGGCUCCUUGGAGCGUCCCGGAAGGCCAGAGGCAAGAAGACGCCGCGACUAGUACCACAUACACUACACCACUAUGAGCAUGAUUCUCACACAAUCACCGGUUGUGGGGAGCACCCCUCGUCGGUGCUCACCCUACGAUCGCCGCGCACAGACUGUGCCGACGACCGAGGUGGUGCUUUCGCGGCUAUCGAAUGGAGGAUAUCGAGUGCAGUGCUUUUGCGGACAAUGAGUGUUUUCACGCACAUCGCGAGAACAGUGACAGGAAGAUGCGUCUCGUGACAGACCAGGACUGAAUGUGAGGAUUAUGGUGAGGCAGAGGGACCCGGACAUUGGACGAGCAGUCAAUAUGCCGCGGGCGCGGCCGUCGGCAAGAGAAUCGAUAUCGUCAAAAAGUGAAAGCGACCACAAAAAGGACACAUGUGCAUUGUGACGCCUUUCUUGGGUUUAGAUCACUCACACACACACGCGCGCGCACCGGGACUGUUGCUGAGAAUGCCAUGCCAUCUGGAGAUGACCAGGUACCUAUUGACGUUAUACCUACUGAGGUAGCGUGGUUAAGGACUGUACAUACAUAUAGGUGUUUAAGGCAAAUGAAAUUGACACGUUACGAUAGCAUGCCAUUUAUGUAAAUAUAAGUAGAAUAAGUGCGGCGUGGUGAUCGCGGUGACAGUAUUUAUUUUAUGUAUUGUGAAACGCGUAGUUAUAGGCGGUGCGGUACUUGUGGUGAUGGUGCCUUGACAUAGAUUAUCUAGUGUUUGAAAACGGAACCUUAGUUGCGGUGAUGGUAUUUAGAUAAUAUUCGGGGUAGGAUUGAGAUAGCCCUCCGGCGGGGCAUAUUGUAUUUUUGUGGUGAGUCCCAUCAUGUGUAUGUGCCCAUUGUUCACUUAUCUCGUUGGCAUUGACCCAUAGAGUACAUGUGUUAAUGGAAGAAUGGGGGGUAGGUGACAUUACCCCACAACCAGUAUUGACGGAUAAUAUGAGCAGCAGACAUUUCGGACGGUGCAGACAUUGUUGCUUGAAUCACGAGUGACUAUGAACUUUUCCCCUCCUUCAGCAUGGACGGCCCACAGACAACGACUCCCGACGUUGACGGGAUGGCCCCGGCGUCGUCCUGACCGACGCCGCCGCCGACUCCGCCCCCUACAUCACCCGACCAUGACGGGGACUCGGAGGCAGAGUCGGAGACGGCGUACGAGCUGUCCCCGACCCAGCCCGUGUGGGACCUCUCCCAGCCGGUCGGAGAGGUGGUGCGGUGCGCCUCCCCAUGGUCGGACGAGUCGGAGGACUGGGGGACAGAAGCGGAGGAGGAGGAGGAGCCAUUACAACUCCUCCGACUCCGCUUGUUAACUGACACUAUGACGACGAAUCAAAGCCUCCGACGUUGAGGAGAUGGCUCGGGCGUCGUCCCGACCGACGCCGCCGCCGCCGACUCCGCCGACACCUACAUCAUCCGACGAUGACGGGGACUCGGAGGCAGACUCUGAGACGGUCUACGAGCUGUCCCCGACUCAGCCCGUCUGGGACCGCAGGGAGCCGGUCGGGCAGGUGGUGCGGUGCGCGUAGCCCUGGUCGGACAUGACCGACUGGGACGACGAGGCCGAGGAAGAAGUGUUCCGUGCGUGUAGUCCGAGGCACUUGGCUCCCCAGCUGGGGAGACGCCAUCCCCACGAGAAAGGGGUCUCGAUGAUGGCCCUCACCCGGGAUACGCUGCUACGGCUGGAGCUCGUGGAAGACGACCGCUCCCCUCCCUGCUCCGAGCCCGAUAGCGUCGAGCACCUGCGCUAACGGAGUGUCCCGCAUACUCCCGCACCCGAGGCCGGCUCUGGGGUUUCACAACAACACUCCGGGAAAUCUUCCAGGAGCCGGCAACCAAGAUCACGGAGUUUCUCCGAGGAGUGGGGCGCGCCGACCCCCCCCCCCCCGUCGACGUGCUCCCGCGGCGGGCCCCCUAGGGGGCCCACGCGUGGCGUGCAAGAAGAGAGAGAGAGAGAGAGAGAGAGAGAGAGAGAGAGAGAGAGAGAGAGAGAGAGAGAGAGAGAGAGAGAGAGAGAGAGAGAGAGAGAGAGAGAGAGAGAAAAAAAGUGUUCCGGCGGUUUUUGUCACCGCCGAACCCACCUCCUCCGCCACCGUUCGCAAAACAAACUGGAUAUGCCCCCAUUCGAAGCCAGUGCAAGAUCGCUAAGAUUGAAUGCAGUUCGCCGAAUUGAAUGAAAAAAAUGCCGAUUUGAGGUGCAAAAAGGUAUAUAUAGAAAAGUCGUCAUGCCGUAUGUGCGCGGAAAGCUUGCGAUAGAAAGUACACACGUGCACAAACAGACUCAUGCAUGCAUACAGAAAGUUCGUCCUUUUCAUUAUACCGGCCAAAUGUGUGCCGUGCUACGUUUUCGUAGAUACCAAUAACAUUGUAGGCCAAAGGGCUACAAUCCUACUGUACGCCACUCGUCCUAUGUACAUUAAUGUCAUCACCAGCACUGACAUAACCACCAGCACCCAACUCCCAAUGUCGCAUUUGCUCGAGCUCUGCUGCAGUGACCGCUGACCUCACCUGAAGCUGCUCUGGCGCGGUGACCGUCUCCGCGGGACCGUCUCUCCGAGCCGUCUUUCCGGGCCGUCUUUCCGGCCGUCUUUCCGGCCGUCUCCGUCUCCGUGUCGAUGGUGGCGCCGCUGCCAUCCAUCUACCGAUCGACGCCACUCGCCCAGAUGGUGCUGCUGAGCUGACUAUGGCGCAGGAGGGGACUGGUCAGAGGGAUUAUGCCGGCUCGCCGUCGAUAUUCUUGUGCUGGUGACGUCACUGGUCGCCCUGCAGUGCUACCAAAACAGCAUCCGAUGAUGCCUCCAUGAUCCCUGGUCUUCCGGGGACAUCUUCAGCAGCACGCGCAGCGCUCGAUCGGAAGACCACCCGCAUCCCGGAAAGACGUCUACUGCCGAUCAGGGCCCACUGGGAUCCUUCGUCGGUCGCUGGGAUAAAUUUUUUCCGACUUGUGUGUCCAAUGCCCAUGGAUAAUCGAUGAUAUUCUUCGGCCCGACAUGAUAUUCUUCGGCGUGUUUGAAGAUUAUGACGGAACAAAUGCCCGCCGCACUACCUACUUGCCUUGUCCUGACACAUUGCCAUUUCACGUUUUCUUGUAUGCAACUGAUCAGGGUGGUGCGUUUAACAGAUGUUUGUUAUGGUAAAUGCAGGAGAACCUGUGAUGCGCUGAGACCCUAACCUAGCUAAACGAGUGGCGAAUAGAAAACGCAGCCAGAUCAUAUCAUCGUUUGACGUAUGGCGCUGGAUCUUGUGUGUAAUAUUGUUCAUGAUUUGAGAACAACAAUAAAAUAUGCAACGGAAAAUGA